UCGGGAAUUUUGGGCAAUGGGCGAAAGCCUGACCCAGCAACGCCGCGUGAAGGAUGAAGUAUUUCGGUAUGUAAACUUCGAAAGAAUAGGAAGAAUAAAUGACGGUACUAUUUAUAAGGUCCGGCUAACUACGUGCCAGCAGCCGCGGUAAUACGUAGGGACCAAGCGUUGUUCGGAUUUACUGGGCGUAAAGGGCGCGUAGGCGGCAAUUCAAGUCAUCUGUGAAAUCUCCGGGCUUAACUCGGAACGGUCAGAUGAUACUGCUUUGCUAGAGUGCAGAAGGGGCAAUCGGAAUUCUUGGUGUAGCGGUGAAAUGCGUAGAUAUCAAGAGGAACACCUGAGGUGAAGACGGGUUGCUGGGCUGACACUGACGCUGAGGCGCGAAAGCCAGGGGAGCAAACGGGGAUUAGAUACCCAAGUAGUCCCUGAGCGGGCUGGCAAGGCGCAU
Molecule: ribosomal RNA, 448 nt
Filed under: uncultured bacterium
Lineage: Bacteria
Description: bacterial SSU rRNA
Rfam family: Bacterial small subunit ribosomal RNA
Source: RNAcentral